Molecule: ribosomal RNA, 202 nt
Filed under: Ditylum brightwellii
Lineage: Eukaryota; Bacillariophyta; Thalassiosirophyceae; Lithodesmiales; Lithodesmiaceae
Description: partial Bacterial large subunit ribosomal RNA
Rfam family: Bacterial large subunit ribosomal RNA
Source: RNAcentral
GAUCCUAUGCUGCCAAGAAAAUCUUCUAGCGAGGUUCGAGCCGCCCGUACCCCAAACCGACUCAGGUGGUUAGGUAGAGAAUACCAAGGCGAUCGAGUGAAUCGUGGUUAAGGAAUUCGGCAAAAUGCCCCCGUAACUUCGGGAGAAGGGGGGCCCGGAACCUGAAGUGACGUGCUCACUAGGGUGAAGGGCCGCAGAGACC